GAUGAACGCUAGCUACAGGCUUAACACAUGCAAGUCGAGGGGAAACGAUAUUGGAAGCUUGCUUCCGAUAGGCGUCGACCGGCGCACGGGUGAGUAACGCGUAUCCAACCUGCCCAUCACUUGGGGAUAACCUUGCGAAAGUAAGACUAAUACCCAAUGACGUCUCUAGAAGACAUCUGAAAGAGAUUAAAGAUUUAUCGGUGAUGGAUGGGGAUGCGUCUGAUUAGCUUGUUGGCGGGGUAACGGCCCACCAAGGCGACGAUCAGUAGGGGUUCUGAGAGGAAGGUCCCCCCACAUUGGAACUGAGACACGGUCCAAACUCCUACGGGAGGCAGCAGUGAGGAAUAUUGGUCAAUGGACGAGAGUCUGAACCAGCCAAGUAGCGUGAAGGAUGACUGCCCUAUGGGUUGUAAACUUCUUUAUACGGGAUAAAGUGAGGCACGUGUGCCUUUUUGUAUGUACCGUAUGAAUAAGGAUCGGCUAACUCCGUGCCAGCAGCCG
This 501-nucleotide ribosomal RNA is filed under the name uncultured bacterium. RNAcentral's name for it is "bacterial SSU rRNA". It matches the Rfam family "Bacterial small subunit ribosomal RNA", at positions 28 to 517 of the family's 1533-position model. The record is from RNAcentral.